GGUGGUGUGGCGAAGUGGAAACGCGGUGGUCUGCAAAAUCACUAGGCACGGGUUCGAUUCCCGUCACCACCU
RNAcentral lists this transfer RNA (72 nucleotides) under Pseudomonadota bacterium. Its description in RNAcentral is "tRNA-Cys". It matches the Rfam family "tRNA". Rfam says of the family: Transfer RNA (tRNA) molecules are approximately 80 nucleotides in length. Their secondary structure includes four short double-helical elements and three loops (D, anti-codon, and T loops). RNAcentral also lists the same sequence under 2 other names. The record is from RNAcentral. Lineage: Bacteria; Pseudomonadati; Pseudomonadota.